RNAcentral lists this ribosomal RNA (254 nucleotides) under uncultured bacterium. RNAcentral's name for it is "partial 16S ribosomal RNA". It matches the Rfam family "Bacterial small subunit ribosomal RNA", at positions 524 to 776 of the family's 1533-position model. The record is from RNAcentral.
UACGGGGGAAGCAAGCGUUGUUCGGAUUUACUGGGCGUAAAGGGCGCGUAGGCGGCCACCGCAAGUCGGUUGUGAAAUCUCUGGGCUUAACCCAGAAAGGUCAACCGAUACUGCGGGGCUAGAGUGCAGAAGGGGCAACUGGAAUUCUCGGUGUAGCGGUGAAAUGCGUAGAUAUCGAGAGGAACACCUGCGGCGAAGGCGGGUUGCUGGGCUGACACUGACGCUGAAGCGCGAAAGCUAGGGGAGCGAACGGG